CAGUAGCCGCGGGAAUACGUAGGUGGCAAGCGUUGUCCGGAAUUAUUGGGCGUAAAGGGCUCGCAGGCGGUUUCUUAAGUCUGAUGUGAGAGCCCCCGGCUCAACCGGGGAGGGUCAUUGGAAACUGGGAAACUUGAGUGCAGAAGAGGAGGGUGGAAUUCCACGUGUAGCGGUGAAAUGCGUAGAGAUGUGGAGGAACACCAGUGGCGAAGGCGACUCUCUGGUCUGUAACUGACGCUGAGGAGCGAAAGCGUGGGGAGCGAACAGGAUUAGAGACCCCUGUAGUCCCUGUCUCUUAUAC
RNAcentral lists this ribosomal RNA (301 nucleotides) under uncultured bacterium. RNAcentral describes it as "partial 16S ribosomal RNA". It matches the Rfam family "Bacterial small subunit ribosomal RNA", at positions 509 to 807 of the family's 1533-position model. The record is from RNAcentral.